GAUGAACGCUGGCGGCGUGCCUAAUACAUGCAAGUCGAGCAAACAGAUGAGGAGCUUGCUCCUCUGACGUUAGCGGCGGACGGGUGAGUAACACGUGGAUAACCUACCUAUAAGACUGGGAUAACUUCGGGAAACCGGAGCUAAUACCGGAUAAUAUAUUGAACCGCAUGGUUCAAUAGUGAAAGACGGUUUUGCUGUCACUUAUAGAUGGAUCCGCGCCGCAUUAGCUAGUUGGUAAGGUAACGGCUUACCAAGGCAACGAUGCGUAGCCGACCUGAGAGGGGGAUCGGCCACACUGGAACUGGGACACGGUCCCGACUCCUAAGGGAGGGAGCAGGAGGGAAACUUCCGCAAUGGGCGAAAGCCUGACGGAGCAACGGCGGGGGAGUGAUGAAGGUCUUCGGAUCGGAAAACCCUGUUAUUAGGGAAGAACAAAUGUGUAAGUAACUAUGCACGUCUUGACGGUACCUAAUCAGAAAGCCACGGCUAACUACGUG
Molecule: ribosomal RNA, 497 nt
Filed under: uncultured bacterium
Lineage: Bacteria
Description: partial 16S ribosomal RNA
Rfam family: Bacterial small subunit ribosomal RNA
Source: RNAcentral